ACUCCUACGGGAGGCAGCAGUGGGGAAUAUUGGACAAUGGGCGAAAGCCUGAUCCAGCCAUGCCGCGUGUGUGAAGAAGGUCUUCGGAUUGUAAAGCACUUUAAGUUGGGAGGAAGGGCAGUUACCUAAUACGUGAUUGUUUUGACGUUACCGACAGAAUAAGCACCGGCUAACUCUGUGCCAGCAGCCGCGGUAAUACAGAGGGUGCAAGCGUUAAUCGGAAUUACUGGGCGUAAAGCGCGCGUAGGUGGUUAGUUAAGUUGGAUGUGAAAUCCCCGGGGCUCAACCUGGGAACUGCAUUCAAAACUGACUGACUAGAGUAUGGUAGAGGGUGGUGGAAUUUCCUGUGUAGCGGUGAAAUGCGUAGAUAUAGGAAGGAACACCAGUGGCGAAGGCGACCACCUGGACUGAUACUGACACUGAGGUGCGAAAGCGUGGGGAGC
RNAcentral lists this ribosomal RNA (443 nucleotides) under uncultured bacterium. RNAcentral's name for it is "bacterial SSU rRNA". It matches the Rfam family "Bacterial small subunit ribosomal RNA", at positions 335 to 769 of the family's 1533-position model. The record is from RNAcentral.